This 205-nucleotide unclassified non-coding RNA is filed under the name Hevea brasiliensis (rubber tree). The record is from RNAcentral. Lineage: Eukaryota; Viridiplantae; Streptophyta; Magnoliopsida; Malpighiales; Euphorbiaceae.
GUUGCUGUCGUCGUCAAUCGCCUGCUUGCCGAGAAUGAUCAGGCCCGGCUUUUCUUCGUCCGCGACGGCCUUGAGAAUCUUGGCGACGUUAAGCGGCUCGACGUUGCUGUCGGUCUUCACGAGGAUGCCGCGGUCGGCGCCCAUGGCAAGGCCGGUACGGAUCGUCUCCGACGCCUGCGCAGGUCCGAUCGACACCACCACGACC